This 372-nucleotide RNase P RNA is filed under the name Saccharomyces cerevisiae (brewer's yeast). The stretch from base 94 to 351 matches the Rfam family "Nuclear RNase P", at positions 77 to 281 of the family's 301-position model. Rfam says of the family: Ribonuclease P (RNase P) is a ubiquitous endoribonuclease, found in archaea, bacteria and eukarya as well as chloroplasts and mitochondria. Its best characterised activity is the generation of mature 5'-ends of tRNAs by cleaving the 5'-leader elements of precursor-tRNAs. The record is from RNAcentral. Lineage: Eukaryota; Fungi; Ascomycota; Saccharomycetes; Saccharomycetales; Saccharomycetaceae.
GAAAUAUAGAUUCCAUUUUGAGGAUUCCUAUAUCCUCGAGGAGAACUUCUAGUAUAUUCUGUAUACCUAAUAUUAUAGCCUUUAUCAACAAUGGAAUCCCAACAAUUAUCUCAAAAUUUACCCAUUUCUCACUAAUGUCGCUUUUGGCAUUGAUCCCUGCUCCUGAGAGAAGAAAUACACUGGGGAACCAGUCUUUACCGACCGUUGUUAUCAGAAAUUCACGGAGUUCGGCCUAGGUUGGACUCCGAUGGGAACGGCAACGGUUGUUCCGUUUGACUUGUCGCCCGCUACGGCGUGAGCGUCAAGGUCUGUUGAGUGCAAUCGUAGGACGUCAUUUGUGGCGAACCCGAUACCGAUUACUGCUGCUGUUCC